RNAcentral lists this unclassified non-coding RNA (346 nucleotides) under soil metagenome. RNAcentral's name for it is "partial contains 5.8S ribosomal RNA, internal transcribed spacer 2, and large subunit ribosomal RNA". The stretch from base 1 to 121 matches the Rfam family "5.8S ribosomal RNA", at positions 35 to 154 of the family's 154-position model. The record is from RNAcentral.
GAUGAAGAACCGUAGUGAAAUGCGACAAGUAAUGUGAAUUGCAGAAUUCCGUGAAUCAUCGAAUCUUUGAACGCACAUUGCGCCCCCUGGUAUUCCGGGGGGCAUGCCUGUCCGAGCGUCAUUGCUGCCCUCAAGCACGGCUUGUGUGUUGGGCCUCCGUCCUCCUCCCAGGGGACGGGCCCGAAAGGCAGCGGCGGCACCGCGUCCGGUCCUCGAGCGUAUGGGGCUUCGUCACCCGCUCUUGUAGGCCCGGCCGGCGCUUGCCGACACAUCAAUCUUUUUUCCAGGUUGACCUCGGAUCAGGUAGGGAUACCCGCUGAACUUAAGCAUAUCAAUAAGCGGAGGA